UUACGUCCAUAUCACAUUGAAACACCAGUUCUAAUAUGAUCACUGAAGUUAAGCAAUAUUGAGUCUGGUCAGUACCUGGAUGGGUGACCACUUGAGAAUACCAGGUGUAGUA
Non-coding RNA from Acanthosepion pharaonis, 112 nucleotides. Lineage: Eukaryota; Metazoa; Mollusca; Cephalopoda; Sepiida; Sepiidae. The record is from the annotation of a GenBank genome assembly.